AGAGCCUCAAAGAGCACCCAGCAUAACUGUGGGAGAAUAGUAAGCAUUGGACACAAAAUGGUUUAGGCAAAUAAUGAUGAACAAAAAUGGUCAGUCUGUGUUCCUGCUGACCCAGCACAGUGGGGACGCUGUGUAGGACAUGACCUUUGGGGGAAAGGACACAAGAACUCAGCGUGGGGGAUCCAGAAAAGAAGUCGCACGUAUUGAAGCCAGUAACGCCAAGCCAGUGAAUUCUCCUUGACGAGAAAGACCCACUUACUCUGCAGAAGAGAUAUAUGACAGCUGACAAUCCCUGGAGGAGAAUCUUUCUACUAAAUUGACACAGUGAAACUCAGUUUCUGCAGAAUUUGAUUUCAUUUGAGUUACUGGGGAACAAAGCAAUUAGACAAUGAAUAAUAGCUCAAGACAGGCUGAAGCUGAAGAUUUCUGCAAAAGAAUGAAGAGGAAACGUUUUGAUCCUGAGCAGAUGUUCUCCCUAGAUUGCUUCACCUGAGGUUGAUUGACUUUUGGAAACGAGAUUUGUUCCCAGUGCUUUGUGAGUCUCUUGUUGGAAGGACUGUCUUUAAAUUAAAGCAAUUAGAGUUACUUUAUAAGAUUUACCCAAAUAUAAGAGCUGAAGAGAAUAAUUCAAAUUGAUCAGAAGAAAAUACUCAAUUACUGACAAAUGUCAAUUACAUCAAUAGCCUAGGCUGCUCUUGAACUCCUGGGCUCAAACGAUCCUCCCCUGUCGGCCUCCCAAAGUGCUGGGAUUACAAGCUUGAACCACCAUGCCCAGCCUCAGAAAUUUUUUAAAUGACAGCUCAUACAGUUUUCUUUUAUAAAGGAGGAGAAAAUGUGUAAUUGUAAGCAGCUGAACUAAAAUAUCUCUGUGACAUUUUGCUGGUGACUCCAGCCCUGUGAGAUCUGAGUGGCUCAGGAAUCAAAUUCUCCCACAAACCUGAGGAAGCCUUUUAUUCUUAAUGCCAACAGGAUGCCCCAUGCCCAGAAUGUCAAAUCUGAACACCAAUGGAAUGCAUUUUAUAAACAAAUUGAAAAAGGACAAUCUUUAACAGAAUUGUUGUUCUCUAGGCAGAUUAGUUGUGCUUCAAAUACAAAAUGAAAUAUUAGAGAACAAAAUUAUUUUUAAACAGCUAAUACUAGUAGAAAAUAAAAGGCUGAAAAGUGCUAUAA
Molecule: long non-coding RNA, 1170 nt
Organism: Homo sapiens (human)
Lineage: Eukaryota; Metazoa; Chordata; Mammalia; Primates; Hominidae
Product: long intergenic non-protein coding RNA 2436
Source: Ensembl